GUGCUCUUAAUUUAUUUUCGAUAAUGAAAUUUUCGAAUCCAUAGUCUAUCUAUAUUAAGAAAAAUAUUAAUUAGUUGAUUGUAAUUAUUUUUACUAUUUAUCGUUGUAUAUCUUUUCUAUAAAUAGGAGAUGGCAUAGGUUAAUUAUAGGACGAGAUUAGCAUAAUUAUAGGUUGAGAUUGAUUCUUAUUCUUGUAUAUAUCAUGCACUUUUCUAAUGAAAUAAACACAAUACUGUAAACCAUUAUCUUCUUCCAUUUUACAAUCUAGUAUAUUUAAAGUAUCUAAAAAAAUAAUUUUUACAAUUAAUUGAUUCUGAUUGUCAAAUUUGAUUAUAUUUGAAAAAAAUGUAAUUGUAAAUAUAAUGUGAAUGCAAAUGAAUAUUUAUAACACCAUAGUUAUUUUAUAUUUUUGAUGUCUUAGUUAUGCAAUUUGUAUAUAAAUUCUGUUCCUAUUAGAAACAUUUUAAAUUGUACUGAUUGUGACACCUUGAACGUAUAGGAAAAAUUCUAUUCGUUCGGUUGGCGCGCCAGAAUCCGACCAAAGUGACAAUGUCGGGGCGUGUUUCGAUAUCAUUUACCUUGUGGUUCAAAGGACUCAAAAUUAACGGUUGAAAUUAAAAAUUUCACAAAAGAUUAUGAUGUAGUACUAAAAUUUUCAAUCAGAGAUAUUAAUCUUCUUGUAGAUAGUAUAAAAAAAAUUUUAUCAAAAUUUUAUCUGAUUUGAAUAUUCUACACCGUUAAACUUACAAACGGCACACUUCAAUCGUUAAAAAUUAUUCAUUUUGAAUCUUUCGAACGUUAGAUCAAGUUUAACGAAAUCGAUCGUUGAUUCAAAAAUUUCAUCAUCGAAAACGGUUAAUUUUCUAGAUUAAUUUUAAAUCUCGAUUUCGAUAAAUAAUUAAAUUCGGUAGCCUCUCAAGGAUUGGUCGCUGAAGGUGCCACGUCCUACGUGCCAAGUGUGUGGGGGAAAUUGAGAAAUGCCUAACCCCUCUUUCCACCUACUUAAUUUGCUAGGAUUUUAGUCCCCCUUUUAUCUCCAAACAAAAAUUUUUGGGGAUGGUGUUUGUUAACCCCACCCUUAACGGAUUAUCCUUAACAAACCCCACCCCCCUUAGAAUUGAGGUGGAAUUAAGUUAAUCCCAUCGCAAUUUAAUUUUUAAUAUAAAUUUAUAAUUAUAAUUAUAAUUAUAAUUUUUAAAUCUUACAAAUUUAUAAUUUGUAAUCUUAAAAUUAAUAUUAAUAUUUUUAAAUUUUAAAUUUUAUUUUUAAUCGCUUAAAUUUUAAAGUUGACAUUUUGUAUUUGAAAUUUAAAAAUGUAUAAUUUGCAAUAUUUAUAUUAAUAUUUAUUGUUUAAAAUUUUAAAUUUUAAAAUUUUAAUUUUAAAGUAUUAUUUAUAAUUAUUUAAAUUUUAAAUUUAAUAUUUUAUAUUAGAAAUUUUAAAAAUUUAUAAUUUGUAAUCUUAAAAUAUAUAUAUUUAUAUUCUUAAAUUUUAAAUUUUAAAAUUUAAGUUGUUAUUUUUAAUUAUUUAAAUUUUAUAUUUUAUAUUUUAUAUUUGAAAUUUUAAAAAUUUAUAAUUUGUAAUCUUUAAAAUAUAUAUUUAUAUUCUUAAAUUUUCAAUUUUCAAUUUUAAAUUGUUAUUUUUAAUUAUUUAAACUUUAAAUUUGGUAUUUUAUAUGUGAAAUUUUAUAUUUGUUAGAUUUGAUUAAAAUUUAUAACUUUAAAUUUUUAAAUUUGAGAUUUAAAAAUAUAGAUUUUAAUUUUGAAUUUUUAAUUUUAAAAGUUAUCUAUUUAAAUUUUAAAUUUUAAAUAUAAAAUAAAAAAUUAGAAUUCAAAUAUAAUAAUUGGGGCAAUAUCAUUAUUUUCUAUUCAUAACUAUCCAUUACCCUACUUAUUCCACUUACUUCAACCAAAUACUAUUUUGCUUAUAUAUGGACUAAACCCAAUUCUCAAUCAAACACAAAAUUACUCUAACCCACCUUAACCCUGAACUUAACCCUAUUCCUGAAAUAACUAGUUCUUAUUUAAUCCCGAACCAAACGAAGCGAUAGAGAUCACCUCGCAGCGGUGGCGGAAGAAAUAACCAAGAACACAAUGAGUGUGUGGAUGGAAAGCGUUGACCAACAAUUCCAAAAGCACAUUCGGAUAAGAAUGACGCACUUAUCGCAUUUAAGGACUCAGUUACAGUGGUAACGGGCUUCGACCUGACUCAAUCCAUCUGGACGUUCGGUCUAUUAUUUUGGAGUCUCUUACCAAUAGGUCUCUUGUGGACCAUAAUUCCACUCAACUUAUUAGACUCAUCCAGCUUGACUUAUUAAUCUUCUGAGUUUAUUGUAACAUGACAGAAAAUUAGACUUUUUUUGCCCCAACAAUAAAUGAGUAAUGCUUCUAUACUUUUUUUUUUUUGUUACCGUUCAUUCACGCGUAUUCAAUGGCUCAGAUUUAAUUUUUUUAAAAUUGUGACCUGCAAUAGCAGGUCACUUUGGGAGAGGUACCGGUUACCAGGUACCUCAAAAAAGGAUAUUUUUGUCUUUUAAUACAUGGGCAAUUUAGUUAUUUUACAUCUACUAUAUUUUUAAAAUUUUUAUUUUUUCUUUGUUUCAUUUUUCUCUCUCUAUCUUUCCUUUCAUAAUUUGGCUUUCAUAUAAGGAAAAGUUCAAAUGAUUUGACAAUAUGAUC
RNAcentral lists this long non-coding RNA (2676 nucleotides) under Ananas comosus (pineapple). RNAcentral describes it as "long non-coding RNA (ACOM_LNC002832)". The record is from RNAcentral. Lineage: Eukaryota; Viridiplantae; Streptophyta; Magnoliopsida; Poales; Bromeliaceae.